CAGCAGCCGCGGUAAUACAGAGGGUGCGAGCGUUAAUCGGAAUUACUGGGCGUAAAGCGCGCGUAGGCGGCUUUGCAAGUCGGGUGUGAAAUCCCCAGGCUUAACCUGGGAACUGCAUUCGAGACUGCAUUGCUAGAGUAUGGGAGAGGGAAGUGGAAUUUCCGGUGUAGCGGUGAAAUGCGUAGAUAUCGGAAGGAACAUCAGUGGCGAAAGCGACUUCCUGGACCAAUACUGACGCUCAUGUGCGAAAGCGUGGGGAGCAAACAGG
Molecule: ribosomal RNA, 268 nt
Filed under: uncultured prokaryote
Description: partial 16S ribosomal RNA
Rfam family: Bacterial small subunit ribosomal RNA
Source: RNAcentral